This is an RNA transcript of Callorhinus ursinus (northern fur seal), 4073 nucleotides long. It is a transcript of the gene named TSC22 domain family member 2, with no coding region annotated. The record is from RefSeq and is a predicted model, not a curated record. NCBI's taxonomy places the organism in Eukaryota, Metazoa, Chordata, Mammalia, Carnivora, Otariidae.
GGGAGGAGGAUGUCUCACAGAGCGGCCAGCGUCCGGAUCAGCCAGUGACUCUUAACAGCGGCGGGCCUCAGACCCCAGCGCGGACUCGGACUUUGUCUUUGGGAGCCCCUGCUCUGCCCUUCCUGGUUUCCGGCAAGAUCGCAGAGGAGCCGGCGUGCCUCUCUGCCCUCCAGCCUUCCUCACCAUGUCCAAGAUGCCGGCCAAGAAGAAGAGCUGCUUCCAGAUCACUAGUGUCACCACGGCCCAGGUGGCCACUAGCAUCACCGAGGACACUGAGAGCCUGGACGACCCGGACGAGUCACGUACAGAGGACGUCUCCUCCGAGAUAUUCGACGUUUCUCGGGCCACGGAUUAUGGCCCUGAGGAGGUCUGCGAGCGCAGCUCCUCCGAAGAGACGCUCAACAAUGUUGGGGAUGCAGAGACUCCGGGGACCGUCUCCCCAAACCUCCUCCUGGACGGGCAGCUGGCGGCCGCGGCGGCUGCUCCCGCCAACGGAGGAGGAGCCCUUUCGGCCCGGAGCGUGGCUGGGGCGCUGGCCAGUACCCCGGCGGCGGCCACCACCUCGGCCCCCUCUUCGGGGGCACCCGGCGCCCCCCCGGUCACGGGCUCGUCUGCCGGGCCAGGGACCGCAGCCCCACCACAGCCCCCCACGACUUGUAGUUCCCGUUUUCGUGUGAUCAAGCUGGACCACGGGAGCGGGGAGCCCUACCGCCGCGGCCGAUGGACGUGUAUGGAAUACUAUGAGCGGGAUUCAGAUAGCAGCGUCCUGACCAGGUCCGGGGAUUGCAUUAGGCACAGCAAUACUUUUGACCAGACUGCGGAGCGGGACAGUGGCCUGGGCGCCACCGGAGGGUCGGUGGUGGUGGUGGUGGCCUCCAUGCAGGGGGCGCACGGGCCCGACUCGGGAACUGACAGUUCCUUGACUGCUGUGUCACAGCUACCCCCGUCGGAGAAAAUGAGCCAGCCCGCCCCGGCCCAGCCGCAGAGUUUUGGCGUUGGGCAGCCACAGCCACCGCCGCCCGUAGGUGGGGCUGUGGUUCAAAGCGCGGCUCCAGUGCCGCCGUUCCCGGGAGCCGCGGCCGGGCCUCAGCAAAUGAUGGCAGCCCCGCAGCCAAGCCAGCCCCAGGGAACCGGCCCCGGCGUCCUCCCGCAGGGGCCCAAUGGACAGGGGCUGCCGCUGACGAAUGUAACCCUGACGCAGCCCGGCGUGCCCCUGCCGCAGCAGCCGGGCCCCGCCGUCGGCGCUCCUACGACGCAGCCGCCCCAGCAGUUCGCGUACCCUCAGCUACCGCCUGGGCAUUUGCUGCCAGUCCAGCCCGCGGGUCAGGGUGAGUACCUACAGCAGCACGUGGCCGGCCUGCAGCCGCCAAGCCCCGCGCAGCCCUCGUCCGCCGGAGCGAGCCUCGCCACCGCUGCCAGCCUUCCAGUGGGCACCGGCCCGAAUGCCGCCUCGGUGGGUGCGCAGAUAAUGGGCGUGUCUUCCUUGCCCAGUGAAGCUGUGGCCCCGGGGCCGGGACCCGCGCCAGGCGGGCAGGCCGCGCCUGGUCAGCCGGCCGGAGUGCCCUUGGCUGCUGUGGGAUGCGCCGUGCCGCCGGGCCUGGUCCCCCCUGGGACCGGGCAGCUCCAGUCCGUGCCUCCACCGCAGAUGGGUGGCAGUGGUGUGUCGUCAGCCGUGCCUGGCGGCCCCCACGCAGUACUGCCCGGAGUUCCAAACGUGCCUGCAGCCGUGCCCGCUCCAAGCGUGCCUAGUGUGUCUACCACCUCUGUUACUAUGCCAAAUGUACCCGCGCCUUUGGUCCAGUCGCAGCAGCUGAGCAGCCAUACGCCAGUCAGCAGGAGCAGCAGCAUAAUCCAGCAUGUUGGGCUGCCCUUAGCGCAAGGCACACCCAGUGCACCAACAAGUCUACCACAGUCUGACCUAAGCCAGUUUCAGACUCAGACCCAACCUUUAGUCGGGCAUGUUGACGAUACUAGAAGAAAAUCAGAACCCCUACCUCAACCACCACUUUCUCUCAUUGCUGAAAAUAAGCCUGUUGUGAAGCCUCCUGUUGCAGAUGCCCUGGCAAACCCCCUUCAAUUAACACCUAUGAACAGUCUCGCCACCUCUGUAUUCAGCAUAGCUAUUCCUGUUGAUGGUGAUGAAGACAGAAUUUUUUUUAGAAUUCAGCAUCGGAGGAGGAAUGUGACAUAAUAAUGAUCGAAAGCCGAAAGUUUAAAAGUUGUGAUGCCCUCACAUGGUUGGAGGGUUAUUCUAUUCUAAGGACUGAAUGUUGUCCACAAGAGUGUCUCAUCAGGUCAUAAAUUGUGCAUCUGGGGGAGGUGGUGUAGCCAUUGACAACAAAAUAGAACAAGCAAUGGAUCUGGUGAAAAGCCAUUUGAUGUAUGCAGUAAGAGAAGAAGUGGAAGUUCUAAAGGAACAAAUAAAAGAAUUAGUUGAAAGAAACUCUUUACUUGAACGAGAAAAUGCACUGUUAAAAUCUCUUUCAAACAAUGAUCAGUUAUCCCAACUCCCAGCCCAACAGGCCAAUCCUGGUAGCACUUCUCAACAGCAAGCAGUGAUAGCACAGCCUCCGCAGCCAGCGCAACCUCCACAGCAGCCGAAUGUCUCCUCAGCAUAAAGCUUUCUUGCCUCAUUAAGAAAAAAAACUGAAAGCAAUCUAUCCUUGUGUGCCACUGGUAUUCUUUCCACUUUAUACGAAAGCAAGUAGCCAUGCUUCGGUUGUGUGUUUGGCCUUUUCAGUAUUAGACAAUCAUUCUGCAGGAGCUUUUCCUCCCUUUGAGAUGUCAUGCAGCAUUGUUGAUGUCCAGUUUCAUGUCAUCAGUACACAAGGAGAAUAAUAGAUGGGGUUUAUUAAAGCAAGCAAAGUCUGCGUUUUACCUGGUGCGCAUGAGUGGGGUCUUUUAAGAGCUUUGGUGGCUCUCCCGUUUUUCCUAUUAUCCAUGGAUUUACCCUGAGCCUUCCUAUCACAUUAUAAAUAACAGUUCAUCUAAAGAGCCACUUUUCUUUCAAUAUCAGUAACAUUUGCCUACGUAAGUUUUCAUUUAUUUGUGUUUUAUUUAUUACAGGGCUGCUAUUUUCAUAAUGUACAUGAACAAUGUCACAGAACUUUUUUAAUUUUUUUGAAUUAUUAUAAGUAUCAGUAAAGGAUUUGAAAGACAGGAUUGCAUUUAAUAGAUAAAACGUUUAGGCAAUAAUUGAACAAAAGAAUCCUGGCAUAUUUCUAACACUAAUGGCAAUUUACCUUCGGUAUUUAUUUUCAGUAGUACAGACCCAGCUUGAAUGUAAAUUUUGUAUAGUGUAAGUAUGAAGAACAUAGUGCAACUGUACAGGUAGUCACCAGUUAUUGUGAUAUAAUAAAUAAUUGGGCUAUUUUGAUGAAGAAAACUUUGUUCAUUUGUUUCUACUUUCUAAUAGAGAAAUUGCCACGAUUCCUCUGCUUUUUGACAUUUCGUAUGACUUUUCUUUUUUCGGGUGGGAAUAAAAAGCUGUGAAAUUGUUCAACCUACUUUGUAACCAAAGAAGCAAAGCUGUGUAAUGGAGUUUUUUUUAUAAUGCACAUUCUUUAUGUAUUUUUAUUUAGUGUUUUCUCGGUCACAAUUUUCUUUGCUGUCUAGCAUGAUCUGCAUGACCUAUAAUCUUUGAACCACUUUCGUACCUCAUGUUUUUAUCCAGCACUCUUAUUGUAAUAUGUACUAGUCUGUGAACAAUGUCAAAUAAAAAAGAACGAACAGGUAGUAUGGUGGAGCUGAGCUAGUGUACUGUAUACACUAGUUGUAAAAAAAAAAAAAAAAAAUGAAGUGAGCCAUCUUUUGUUCAUUUAAAAUGGUGUUUUGAAUUUCGUAUGCAGAAAACGUUUUGUUACAUUGCAGAUUUUAAUGUAUUUAAUAAAUGCAACAUGCAGAUUAAGUGCAGUGUAUACUGAGUAUUUAAAUUAAAAUGUACAUUUCAUAAAUACAGUUUCAAGAGAAAGCAUCAUUUUGUGUAUACUAACACAUUAAGUGUAUGUCAGAAAUUGAUGUAUAAAUAUAUAUUUUAACACAUUUUCUGAAAUUAAACUGCAGUUUUGUUGAAA